Molecule: long non-coding RNA, 128 nt
Organism: Homarus americanus (American lobster)
Lineage: Eukaryota; Metazoa; Arthropoda; Malacostraca; Decapoda; Nephropidae
Exons: 3
Source: RefSeq, a predicted model, not a curated record
UAGAGACAGAGUAGACCAACAAGGAGGAGUAGAGACAGAGUACACCAACAAGGAGGAGUAGAGACAGAGUACACCAACAAGGAGGAGUAGAGACAGAGUACACCAACAAGGAGGAGUAGAGACAGAGA